RNAcentral lists this non-coding RNA (732 nucleotides) under Singhiella simplex. Lineage: Eukaryota; Metazoa; Arthropoda; Insecta; Hemiptera; Aleyrodidae. The record is from RNAcentral.
UAAAAAUUUUAUCUCAGUUUGGAAGUUGGACUUUUAAAUCAUGUGUAUACGUAAACCAAAUUGAAUUAAAAAUAAAGAGUAACACUCAAUAUUUAUUAAAUUAAGGAAACUUAAUAAAAGGAUUUAAAUUAAAAAUUAACUAAAUAAGUGCCAGCAGUUGCGGUUAUACUUAUAAUUAAUCAAUUAGGUUCAUCCAGGUUAUAUGAAAUACUUCAAGACAAAACAUUAAAAUAAUAAGUGGAAUUUUAUUUUAACAACAACUUCAAAGAAUAGCAACCAAAAAAAUUGACAAAAAACUAGGAUUAGAUACCCUAUUAUUAAUUAAGAAAAAAGAGAUGAAGUAGUAAAAGAAAAAUCUUCAAACUUAAGAGAUUUGGCGGUAACUUAAACUAAUCAGAGGAAUCUGUAACAUUAUUGACAGUCCGCGAAUAAUUCAACCUUGAUAAAAAGUCUAUAUAUCGCUGUAAAAUGCAUCAUAGAAAUGAAUGCAUAAAAUAUCGAAGGAUAGAAAAUCAAGUCAACACAUAACUCAACAAGGAAGUAUAUGGAUUACAUUUAGUUAAAGUUAUAGGAUAGACCAAAAUAUGGAUACUGAAAAAGGAUUUGACAGUAAGUUGAGAAUAUUGCUCAGCUGAACUAGAAAUGAGUUAUGUACAAAUCGCCCGUCACUCUUAAGUAAAUUAAGACAAGUCGUAACAAAGUAAGCUUACUGGAAAGUAAGCUUAGAGUUCA